AUUGAACGCUGGCGGCAGGUUUAACACAUGCAAGUCGAGCGGGGUGAUGGUGCUUGCACUAUCACUUAGCGGCGGACGGGUGAGUAAUGCUUAGGAAUCUGCCUAUUAGUGGGGGACAACAUCUCGAAAGGGAUGCUAAUACCGCAUACGUCCUACGGGAGAAAGCAGGGGAUCACUUGUGACCUUGCGCUAAUAGAUGAGCCUAAGUCGGAUUAGCUAGUUGGUGGGGUAAAGGCCUACCAAGGCGACGAUCUGUAGCGGGUCUGAGAGGAUUAACAGCCACACUGGGGCUGAGACACAGAGCAAACUCCUGCGGGGGGCAGCAGUGGGGAAUAUUGGACAAUGGGGGGAACCCUGAUCCAGCCAUGCCGCGUGUGUGAAGAAGGCCUUAUGGUUGUAAAGCACUUUAAGCGAGGAGGAGGCUCUUUUGGUUAAUACCCAAGAUGAGUGGACGUUACUCGCAGAAUAAGCACCGGCUAACUCUGUGCCAGCCGCCGCAGUAA
This 503-nucleotide ribosomal RNA is filed under the name uncultured bacterium. RNAcentral describes it as "partial 16S ribosomal RNA". It matches the Rfam family "Bacterial small subunit ribosomal RNA", at positions 30 to 523 of the family's 1533-position model. The record is from RNAcentral.